This 567-nucleotide ribosomal RNA is filed under the name uncultured fungus. RNAcentral describes it as "eukaryotic LSU rRNA". The stretch from base 25 to 178 matches the Rfam family "5.8S ribosomal RNA". The record is from RNAcentral. Lineage: Eukaryota; Fungi.
CAGUCAUGAGCUAAAAGUUAAUACAACUUUCAACAACGGAUCUCUUGGCUCUCGCAUCGAUGAAGAACGCAGCGAAAUGCGAUAAGUAAUGUGAAUUGCAGAAUUCAGUGAAUCAUCGAAUCUUUGAACGCACCUUGCGCUCCUUGGUAUUCCGAGGAGCAUGCCUGUUUGAGUGUCAUGUUAUUCUCAAUCCCGUCUGCUUUGCGGCCGUCGGGUUUGGAUGUGGAGGCUUGUGCUGGCCCCUCGCGGUCGGCUCCUCUUGAAUGCAUUAGCGGGGCUUAUGCUCGAUGCAACGGUGUAAUACUUUCUUUUCACCGGAGUAACUUGCAAUUGAAAGUCCGCUUCUAAUCGUCUCGCAUGAGACAUUGUAAAGGGAUGGAUUUCUCUUUGACACCUUUGACCUCAAAUCAGGUAGGACUACCCGCUGAACUUAAGCAUAUCAAUAAGCGGAGGAAAAGAAACUAACAAGGAUUCCCCUAGUAACUGCGAGUGAAGCGGGAAAAGCUCAAAUUUAAAAUCUGGCAGCUUCGUUGCCCGAGUUGUAAUCUGGAGAAGCGUUUUCCGCGC